Molecule: ribosomal RNA, 465 nt
Filed under: uncultured bacterium
Lineage: Bacteria
Description: partial 16S ribosomal RNA
Rfam family: Bacterial small subunit ribosomal RNA
Source: RNAcentral
CCUACGGAUGGCAGCAGUGGGGAAUCUUGCGCAAUGGACGAAAGCCUGAUGCUGCGACGCCGCGUGAGUGAUGAAGGUUUUCGGCUCGUAAACCUCUGUUAGCAGGGAAGAACGAUCACUGUGGUAACUAGCCUUUAAUUGACGGUACUUGCAUAGGAAGUACCGGCUAACUCCGUGCCAGCAGCCGCGGUAAUACGGAGGUUGCGAGCGUUGUCCGGAUUUACUGGGCGUAAAGCGAGUGCAGGCGGUACGUUAAGUCAAGUGUGAAAGCCUCGGGCUCAACCUGAGAACUGCCUGAGAAACUGGCGAACUUGAGUGUAGAAGAGGAUAGUGGAAUUCCAGGUGUAGGAGUGGAAUGCGUAGAUAUAUGGAGGAACAUCAGUGGCGAAGGCGACUAUCUGGUACAUAACUGACGCUGAGGAGCGAAAGCGUGGGUAGCGAACAGGAUUAGAUACCCGUGUAGUC